GAUGAAGAACGUAGCGAAAUGCGAUAAGUAAUGUGAAUUGCAGAAUUCAGUGAAUCAUCGAAUCUUUGAACGCACAUUGCGCCCGCUGGUAUUCCGGCGGGCAUGCCUGUUCGAGCGUCAUUUCAACCCUCAAGCCCCCGGGUUUGGUGUUGGGGAUCGGCUCUGCCCUUCUGGGCGGUGCCGCCCCCGAAAUACAUUGGCGGUCUCGCUGCAGCCUCCAUUGCGUAGUAGCUAACACCUCGCAACUGGAACGCGGCGCGGCCAUGCCGUAAAACCCCAACUUCUGAAUGUUGACCUCUGAUCAGGUAGGAAUACCCGCUGAACUUAAGCAUAUCAAUAAGCGGAGGA
RNAcentral lists this unclassified non-coding RNA (348 nucleotides) under soil metagenome. RNAcentral's name for it is "partial contains 5.8S ribosomal RNA, internal transcribed spacer 2, and large subunit ribosomal RNA". The stretch from base 1 to 120 matches the Rfam family "5.8S ribosomal RNA", at positions 35 to 154 of the family's 154-position model. The record is from RNAcentral.